Molecule: ribosomal RNA, 477 nt
Filed under: uncultured bacterium
Lineage: Bacteria
Description: partial 16S ribosomal RNA
Rfam family: Bacterial small subunit ribosomal RNA
Source: RNAcentral
AUUGAACGCUGGCGGCAUGCCUUACACAUGCAAGUCGAACGGUAACAGGUUAAGCUGACGAGUGGCGAACGGGUGAGUAAUACAUCGGAACGUGCCCAGUAGUGGGGGAUAGCCCGGCGAAAGCCGGAUUAAUACCGCAUACGACCUAAGGGUGAAAGGGGGGGAUCGCAAGACCUCUCGCUAUUGGAGCGGCCGAUGUCAGAUUAGCUAGUUGGUGGGGUAAAAGCACACCAAGGCGACGAUCUGUAGCUGGUCUGAGAGGACGACCAGCCACACUGGGACUGAGACACGGCCCAGACUCCUACGGGAGGCAGCAGUGGGGAAUUUUGGACAAUGGGCGCAAGCCUGAUCCAGCCAUGCCGCGUGCGGGAAGAAGGCCUUCGGGUUGUAAACCGCUUUUGUCAGGGAAGAAAUCCUUUGGGUUAAUACCUCGGGGGGAUGACGGUACCUGAAGAAUAAGCACCGGCUAACUACGUG